RNAcentral lists this RNase P RNA (383 nucleotides) under Luteimonas viscosa. RNAcentral describes it as "Luteimonas sp. XBU10 RNase P RNA component class A". It matches the Rfam family "Bacterial RNase P class A". Rfam says of the family: Ribonuclease P (RNase P) is a ubiquitous endoribonuclease, found in archaea, bacteria and eukarya as well as chloroplasts and mitochondria. Its best characterised activity is the generation of mature 5'-ends of tRNAs by cleaving the 5'-leader elements of precursor-tRNAs. Lineage: Bacteria; Pseudomonadati; Pseudomonadota; Gammaproteobacteria; Lysobacterales; Lysobacteraceae. The record is from RNAcentral.
GGAGUCGGCCGGACAGUCGCGUCAUCGGCCCAUUUCGGUGGGUGCGGAUGCCGAGGAAAGUCCGGGCUCCACAGGGCACGGUGCCAGGUAACCCCUGGGCGGCGCGAGCCGACGGAAAGUGCAACAGAAAGAUACCGCCGAACGCUCAGGCAGUUCCGCAAGGAGCGGCAGGAGGCGUGGCAAGGGUGAAAUGGUGCGGUAAGAGCGCACCGCGAGCCUGGCAACAGGCCGGUACGGCAAACCCCACCGGGAGCAAGACCAAAUAGGGAGACGAUGCCGUGGCCCGCGGUGUCUCCGGGUAGGUUGCUCGAGCGUCGCGGUGACGCGGCGCCUAGAGGAAUGACUGUCCACGACAGAACCCGGCUUACAGGCCGGCUCCGCCA